AUGCGGAGCGUGGCGGGGGCUCUCUACUGCUUGGGGUUCGCCCUGGCGAGCUACGCCAGCGGGGUCAUGGUGACGGUGGUGCACCAGGCGACGAGGGGGCGAGAGGGGCGGCCAGACUGGUUGGUGCAGGACCUGGACCAGGGGAGGGUCGACCUGUUCUACCUCGUCACAGUCGCCAUGGCCGCCGUCAACCUCGUAUACUUUGUUGUCUGCGCCCGGUGGUACAGGCUCAAGGAGUCCGACGACGACGAGGACAACUCCCAUGCCGGCGAUGGCGUCCAGCUCGUCGAUGGAAGCCCAAGAAAGUCCACAAGUGCCACGCCGGUUUAG
RNAcentral lists this ribosomal RNA (330 nucleotides) under Triticum aestivum (bread wheat). RNAcentral's name for it is "partial small subunit ribosomal RNA". The record is from RNAcentral. Lineage: Eukaryota; Viridiplantae; Streptophyta; Magnoliopsida; Poales; Poaceae.